GUGACAGGGUGAGGCAGUGAAAGGGUGUGCUCAGGGCUGGCCUUGCACACCUUGGGGUGGAAUGUUGCAGGUUCCUGUGCAUCAGUCAGGGCAGUGACAGCUGCAACAACACCCAUCAUUCCUUUCUUACACUUGUAAACUCCCUGACAACCUGCUGAGAGUGAUUUCUACUUGAUAGGGGAGAGCUGAAAAGUGGAUGAAUGGAAUUAAGGAUCCUCCACGGAUAUGUGACCACAUAUGGUUUUAAAUGAAUGCAGAAUGGAAAUUAUUUGAGAUAUAAAAGAGCAAUUCAGAGCUUCCUCCCAAGCAGCACUUGUACCAAGGGCUCAUCCUGCUGCUCUGCACAUCAAAGGAUCAUCAGUGGAACGAACUGAGAAAGAAAUGUAACUUUCAAAUGAAAAAAUCGUGUGGUUGUGGAAGGUCUGCCCAAGAGGAACAGAACUUGGAGUUUUAGGGAUAUGAGGAAUUGGAAAUUAAGGUGGGAUUUUCAGCUUCUCUGUUGUUCCUGUGAAUGCAAACCUGGAUGUUUUCUGUGCUUCUCCAAGCCUGAAGCUUUCUGCUAAAUUUCUUACUAAAAGAUAACAGAGGAGAUUAUAAAUGCAGGCACCUCAGUUCUGUGAAGGAGGGCCCUGUUUGCUCACUGGUGCAUAAAAAGGCCUUAUUGGGGACUUACAUCUCUGUCAUGUUGAUUUAAUUUUAUUUUAUAUCACGUUCUCCCACCAAAUUGCUCUCAGUUUUUCUGUGUGGCGUUGGGUGCCCUGUAUUCAGAUGACAAGGCUGAGACAAUAAUCUGAAAAGGUUCUCUCUUUGUAAUUUAACCUGCUAUAGGUGUGUGAGCCUGAUGGUCUGUACAUCCAUGGAAAUUUCCUCUGGGCCAGGUCUUUCCCUGAGCAGUUCCAUAAAACAGGAGGGAUGUGAUCUCUGGUUUCUAUCAAAGAACCCUUUAGGUUGGAAAAGGCCUCUAAAACCAUUGAUUCCAGUCAAUGAUCAAAGUCCCUCUUGCUGAUUUAGCAAAAAGGUCUUUUUUUCUGACUCAGGUGUUGGUCUCAGGUUGGAGACCUGGGGUUAAUCCUUGUUUCCACCCGUGUCAUACAGACCAGCAUGGCUCUGCUGAAGCAGAGCAAAGGUACCCUGGCACACUCCCAGUGCUGGGGCAGGACCUCCAGGUCUGCCUGGGAAAGAGCCCGUGGGGGAUCAUGGAAGGGACCCACAAGGACCAUCCAGUCCAACCCCUGGCCCUGCCCGGGACACCCCAACAAUCCCCCCCUGUGCCCCAGAGGAUCAUCCAAACCCUCCUGGAGCUCUGGCAGCCUUGGGGCCGUGCCCACUGCCCUGGGCAGCCUGGGCAGUGCCAACCACCCUCUGGGGGAAGAACCUUGUCCUGAGAUCCAACCUGACCCUCCCUGGCACAGCUCCAGCCCUUCCCUUGGGUCUUCUGCAGUGCUCUCCAGGUUGGAGGAGCCCACCCUGGGAUCCAGGAGGAAGUUCUGCUCCUUGUAAUUACACCUGUGAAACAGGGAAUGAAUAGGGUUGGCUGAAAACCUGGAGGGUCAGAAAAUGGAACAUUUUUACAAAAUCAGUACCUGCACAUCAGGUGGGGACAGUGUCCUGGCACUGGGUGUCAGCAGCACUGACUAAACAGUGUGGAUCCCCUCCAAUUAGCAGAUUCCUGAAGCCCUGAAGUGCUUCCCAGGGCAGUGCUCAGGGCUGCAUUUAGAGGCAUUUACUGUGCUGGAUUCUGCUGAGUGCUCUCCUGGCUGCUGCCUGGGAGAGCAGGACCAGCACUCCUCACUCUGCUGGGCUUGGCUUGUGCAAAAGGCCCUGCUUUCAGCAGGUGAAGUUUUCAUCAGGCUGUUGUAGGAAUAAUGUGGAAAAGAUGUUAUUUGCCAGCUGACCUGCCUUGGAGGGAGGAAAUACAAGACAUGGGUGGAAUGAAAGGAGAACUGCAGAGCAGAUCCUUGUGGAUGCACCUCCCCCAAACCAACUGCUCGAUGGCAGAGAGACUCUGGGAAGGGAUUUUGUUUCCUGGGUGUUGCUGUGCUGGAUCUGGGACUCAAAUCCAGGGGGGUUUGUUGGGGGUCCCCCUCACACCUUGAGAGCCUGGUUUGUACCAGGUCUGACCAAAGACCCCCCUGGGCUGAACCCCCUUGGCAGCAGCUCCCAGCAGUGCUGAAGGACGAGCGGGAUGUCCAAGCCAGGGAACUGGAUGCACAUUCCAUGUCAGCCCAAGCUUGGAGCCUGGACAGCCCUGGGCAACGAUGGAAGGAUUCCUGGUGAGCCCACCGUGGUUGGUGCCAGGGGAGUGCAGACAGAAGGGUGAUGGAAAGCUUCCAAAGAGGCUCCAAGCCCUCAGUGUCUUCAGUUUUCAUCCACCUACAGAGCCCAUUUACACACCUGUACUACUGGGAAAUGAUCUCCAGGGACUUCUGCAGUGACACCUCUUGCAACAGCACGUAAAGCUUCCACUGACAGGUGGUUUCUGACAGACAAACUCCUGGGGAAGAUGAAGGUCUUGUAUCUGGAGACACAAGGUUUGUGUUUGGCUGGUGAGUGGUGCAGGACGGGGCUUUGCUCCUGCUGGGAAAGGUUCAGACUGGAGUCCAGGCUGCCCAGAGAAGCUGGAAGUGUCCAAGGCCAGGUUGGACGGGGCUUGGAGCAACCUGGGCUGGUGGAAGGUGUCCCUGCCCAUGGCAGGGGUGGCACUGGAUGGGCUUUGAGGUCCCUCCCAGCCCAAACCAUUCCACGAUUCUGCGAGUCCAGCUGCUCUUCCAAGGGGUGGAGGUGCUGCACCAUGCCCCCUCUGGCUCUUCUGUGCUUGUGCCCCGUGUCCCCAGGGCAGGGAUGGCUGGAUGUGCCUGUCACAUCUUCCCCUGGGCCCCCUCCAGCCGGGCUGUUCUGCUGCUCAGGCUGAAGAACAAAGCAGGUUUUGCUCAAGCCCAGGUUGGGAGAGCUGGGACGUGUCCGUGGGUGGUGACAGCCCAGGGGAUGGUGGGUGGGUGGCAGAGCUGCCACCAGCUGUCCUGUCACUUCGCCCUGGCCAUCCUGUCGCUCCCAUCCGCCUCCUUUGGUGUUUUCCCCUGAAGUCCAUGACAAAUUCCUGACUCACCCGUUCUGGGAAGGCCACUGAGCUCGAAGCUCCUGGAGCUCAGUGCCCGGGUACCUGAGGCUGGGCAGGUGAGGAGCCCCUGCAGGGCUGUCGGUGCUUGGAGCCACCUGAGACCCACCUGCAGCCCAAGGAGCUUCCCUGCUAAUUGUUUCCUAAAUACCCCGAUCCCUUUCUAAACCCCGUUGCCGUGGCAACAAUAAUUUCUAUGCAUUACGAAUAUCAGACACCUCUCGAAUCAAUUUGUUUUCCCUUGUUGCCAUGGCGACAGACAUUUUGUCAGAAUUAUUUAGGGGGAGAGAAAUCCGGAGACUUUUCCAGGGAAGGAGCUGCAGGAGGAGCCCCGUGGGGAGCCCGGCCCCCCUCCCACCCUCCUCCUGCCCCGCCGAGGGGGGUCCUGCAGCUCCCAGGGAGUGUUUUGUGGUUUGGAUACAAGCAGCCCCCUCGGCUACUGCCCCAUCUCCGUCCUUUUGCCCUCCCAACUCCAGCACCUUGCUGAUGACCAUCGUCUGCUUUGGGCCCUCCCAGCCUGGCCACCGCCAGGGCCGUUCCUCUCUGAUGGCUCCUGCUCUCAGACCUGGGGCUUUGGCUGCACCUCAGCCUUCCCAGCCUCUCUUUCCUAGAGUGACAUCUACUCAAACAGGUUGGAAAGCUGCCUAAAGGCGUUUCUCUGGUGCAAUCAUCAGUGGUGCCGAAAAGGAGCGUGUUGGAAAUCUCAGCAGCACAUUUGGUUGCCAGCGUGCUAAAUGGGGCCUGUGAAAGCUCUGCAUUGCAAUGGCCACCCUGCAGCCUCCUCUGGGCUCUGGAUUGCUGUCCUUUCACAGUGGCAGUUCAGUGAUGAACCCCUCAGCCCAUUUAUUAAACCCCUUGGGGCUCUCUGCCCUGUCCCCUGCUCCUGCUCAGCUGGAGGGCUGGCAGGACACCCCACCCCGGGUGAGGUGGGGCUGGAGAGGUGCAGCCAACACAACUGCUGGUUCUUAGGCUCCAGGAGAUGCUUGGGGUGAAAGAAAAGUCACAAGUUAAAAAAAUCAAUCUGAGCAGAGCUGUUUUGGUCACCCACAAGGUUCCUGUAAGCUCUUACUUGAAGAGCAAUAAUGUCAUUUCUAGGUCACGCCCUGCUGAUGGUGCUCCCUGAUUUAGGCUGAGGGAGCUGGGGCUGCUCAGCCUCCAGAGGGGACACCCAGAGGGGACCUCCCCAAGGGCUGGCAGGGCCUGCAGGGAGGGGCAGAGGAUGGCCCAGGCUCUGCUCAGGGGGGCCCAGCAAUGGCACAGCAGGAACGGGCAGGAACUGAUGCCCAGCAAGUGCCACCUGCACAGGAGGAAGAACUUCUUGGCUGGGCAGUGACCCAGCCCUGAGCAGAUUGGCCAGAGAGGGGGGGAGUCUCCUCCCUGGGGAUAUUCCAGAGCCCUCUGGACACAAUCCCUGUGCUCUGGGAUGGCCCUGCUGGAGCAGGGAGGUGGGAUCAGAUGGACACUGUGGGCCCUUCCAGCCUGACCCAUCCUGGGAUUUUUUUAUAGGAAAUAAAAAAAUAUUUGAAAGAGUCUGUUAUUAAACACCUGAAUGCUCAAAUUAUAGGUGAGCUUUGAAAAACAAAUUAAUCUUCUGAGUUUGAGUUAGGAAUCUACAGCAGGACCCCGGGGCUGUGUCCUCUGUGCUGCAUUUCUGCUGCCACGGGCUGUUUCUGCACUGGGAAGGCCUGUUCUCUCCUUGCCAGAUAAUACUUAAUGCUCCUUGCACUGGAAAUGUCCAGGCAGGGGAGCCAGAACACUGAAGCAGCAAGUUGACAUCUGGCAAAGUGACUGAGGAGGUACCUUGGGGCAGACAAAUGCUGCUCCAUCCGACUGCUCCGUGAAUCCAUCCAGCUUCUGAGCGCAAUCCUGGGGCUCAGGAUGGUGCUGCUGAAUGUAGGAAUAUCUGCAGGUCAGAGGCAUCAAAACCUAUUUCCUCGGAACUGAAGAUAAGCAGAAAAUAUAAUGUGGUGCUUCUCUUCCCCAGGAAAUCACUGGGAGCACUUGUGGGGAUUUACAGGAGGCGUUUGUGCUGCUCUACCUUCCCCGGCGGCCGUGGCUUCACCUGCACGCUUCCCUCCACUUGGUGGUAGCAUUUUCUCGGUGUUCCCUCCUCUCUUCCAGCGUUUGGAGUGGCUGUGGAUGUGAACGAGGAGCCCCUUCCCUCUGAACGCGGGAUCGAAGGAGUGUUGAGUGUUUACUCCCCUCUGUGACACGGGGAACUUUGAUGCUCAGGUGCUUCCCAGACUGGCUUUGCUUGUACUCAAACCACUUUCUCCUGAUGUGAGAAGGAGAAGGAAGACACCGACAAGCUUGGAAAUGCUGCUCCCUGACCAGCUGUGCUUGUCCUCAGGUGGGUUUGACACCACAUGGACCUGACUCUGUGGCUGCCCCAAAACCAGCCUGAAAUUCGCUCUGGGUCAGGGGGACCCUGACAGGAGGUGUCCUCUCCAGAAAGGUGUGGGUUCAGCCAGUGAAACACUCCCCAUGUCCUGCCUCUUCCCAGCUCCUCCUCUGCUGGUGGAAGACGUUUGUGUGAAGGACCCAAAGCUGGGAGUGAAGGGGCAGCAGUUCUGGUGAGCUCUGUGCCCAUGAGGUGGGAGGGAUGGGCAUCCAUGGACCCAGGGCAGGGGCACUCCUGAGGAUGCCUGGAGAGCCUGGGGCCACAGCAGUGCCCUCCCUGCUGGCCACGGCUCCAGUGGGAUUGGCUCCUGCUCCUGGAGCUGGGGCUGCCUCCUCACCAGGGGCACAGAGCUGCUGUCACCAGGGGCACAGAGCUGCUGCUCACCAGGGACACAGAGCUGCUGCUGCUCACCAGGGACACAGAGCUGCUGCUGCUCACCAGGGGCACAGAGCUGCUGCUGCUCACCAGGGGCACAGAGCUGCUGCUGCUCACCAGGGGCACAGAGCUCCUGCUCACCAGGGGCACAGAGCUGCUGCUCACCAGGGACACAGAGCUGCUGGGCACAGAGCUGCUGCUCAGCAGGGACACAGAGCUGCUGCUGAGGGGCUGCAUCCCACCAGCCCAGCGGGACAGGAGGGAUUUCCCGUGGAGAGGAGCGAUGCCAGUGCAGCAGGAGAGCUGAGAGCGGCCGAGGCAGCGCCGGGCACAGGCUCAGGGCAGCACAGACAGAGAUGAUGCCACUGUUGGCUUCAGUUUUUAUUCUAUCUAUCAAAAAUCUACCAAAAUGCUCCACCCUUGAGAACGGGCUGCACUUACUCUGCUCUCGCUGCUUCGGGCUGUCCUUACCCUGCUGUGGGCUGAGCCAGACUGGGACCAAACCCAGCCCCUGUUGUGCUGAGGUGUUUGUGCUGCACGGGUGCACCCCCUCUGCCACGGAGCAAAACUGCAGCGACCACCUGCUGUCAAUGAAAUUACUGUGAUAUUGAUUAGAGUCUUUUUAAUUGCACCGAGCCAUUUAUUAAAGGCUUAUCUGAGUGCUGUGACUGCUGCUCUCCUUCCUGGCAGCAGCAGGUUCCCAA
Long non-coding RNA from Pseudopipra pipra, 6595 nucleotides. RefSeq lists it as uncharacterized. NCBI's taxonomy places the organism in Eukaryota, Metazoa, Chordata, Aves, Passeriformes, Pipridae. The transcript is spliced from 3 exons. The record is from RefSeq and is a predicted model, not a curated record.